CGGGACGGGUGAGUAAUGUCUGGGAAACUGCCUGAUGGAGGGGGAUAACUACUGGAAACGGUGGCUAAUACCGCAUAACGUCGCAAGACCAAAGAGGGGGACCUUCGGGCCUCUUGCCAUCGGAUGUGCCCAGAUGGGAUUAGCUAGUAGGUGGGGUAACGGCUCACCUAGGCGACGAUCCCUAGCUGGUCUGAGAGGAUGACCAGCCACACUGGAACUGAGACACGGUCCAG
Molecule: ribosomal RNA, 233 nt
Filed under: uncultured bacterium
Lineage: Bacteria
Description: partial 16S ribosomal RNA
Rfam family: Bacterial small subunit ribosomal RNA
Source: RNAcentral